AAACGAUAAACAGACCACCUGGGUAGUACGGUCGCAAGGCUGAAACUUAAAGGAAUUGACGGGGGAGCACCACAACCGGUGGAGACUGCGGUUUAAUUAGAUCAAACGCAGAGUACCCUACCAGAGCCGACAGCAAGAUGACGGUCAGCUUGAAGAGCUUACCUGAUGCGCUGAGAGGAGCUGCAUGGCCGCCGUCAGCUCGUGCCGUGAGGUGUCCGGUUAAGUCCGGUAACGAGCGAGACCCACACUCUAUGUUGCAAAGGAACCUUUCGAGGUUUCUGCACUCGUAGAGGACCGCUGGUGAUAAACCAGGGGAAGGAGUGGGCCACGGUAGGUCAGUAUGGCCCGAAUGCUCUGGGAUACACGCGGUCUACAAUGGCCGGAACAAAGGGAUGCGACUCCGAGAGGAGAAGCUAACCCCCUAAAUCCGGUCUUGGUACGGAUCGAGGACUGCAACUCGUUCUCGUGAAGGCGAAAUCGGUAGUAGUCGCUGAUCAUCAUUCAGCGGCGAAUAAGUCCCUGCUCCUUGUACACACUGCCUGUCAAGUCACCCGAGUCAGGUUCAGACGAGCUUCACCAUUUGGUGAGUCGAGUCUGAGCUUGGCAAGGGGGGCUAAGUCGUAACAAGGUAGCCGUA
This 637-nucleotide ribosomal RNA is filed under the name uncultured archaeon. Its description in RNAcentral is "bacterial SSU rRNA". It matches the Rfam family "Archaeal small subunit ribosomal RNA", at positions 810 to 1451 of the family's 1478-position model. The record is from RNAcentral.